UAGGGAAUAUUGGACAAUGGGUGAGAGCCUGAUCCAGCCAUGCCGCGUGCAGGAAGAAGGCGUUAUGCGUUGUAAACUGCUUUUUGCCAGGGGAUAAAAUGACCGUGCGCGGUUAAUUGAAGGUACCUGGUGAAUAAGCCACGGCUAACUACGUGCCAGCAGCCGCGGUAAUACGUAGGUGGCAAGCGUUGUCCGGAUUUAUUGGGUUUAAAGGGUGCGUAGGUGGCCCUGUAAGUCAGUGGUGAAAUAUCUCAGCUUAACUGAGAGGGUGCCAUUGAUACUGCAGGGCUUGAGUACAGAUGAGGUAGGCGGAAUUGACGGUGUAGCGGUGAAAUGCAUAGAUAUCGUCAAGAACACCGAUAGCGAAGGCAGCUUACCAAGCUGUAACUGACACUGAGGCACGAAAGUGUGGGGAUCAAACAGGAUUAGAUACCCUAGUAGUCCCUGAGCGGGCUGGCAAGGCGCAU
This 467-nucleotide ribosomal RNA is filed under the name uncultured bacterium. Its description in RNAcentral is "bacterial SSU rRNA". It matches the Rfam family "Bacterial small subunit ribosomal RNA", at positions 355 to 825 of the family's 1533-position model. The record is from RNAcentral.